GCAAGCGUAGCUUAAUCAAAAGCUUAAUAUUGAAGAUGUUAGGAUGGGCUCUAGAACGCCCCGCAAGCA
RNAcentral lists this transfer RNA (69 nucleotides) under Percichthys trucha. RNAcentral describes it as "tRNA-Phe". Lineage: Eukaryota; Metazoa; Chordata; Actinopteri; Centrarchiformes; Percichthyidae. The record is from RNAcentral.